ACUCUAGUCUAGACAAAGUAACAUUAGCAGUAGUUUUUAUUCCGACAUCUCUUCGCCCCUGUGUUUAUUUGUAUUCACUUCACUCCGCAUUUAUUAAAGCGCUUAGGAUUUUUUCACUGAUGGAAGUCAGCUGUUCACUCUAUGACAGCUGUCAAAUCUGUCAUAUUUCAAAGGCUAACCUCAAAACGCACAGUUCAUGAGUUCAAUUAUUUUUAUUUUAUUUAGUAAAUCAAUCAAUUCAAUUUAACAUAAGUAGUGGUUGUGGCUAACAAUGAAAGCUAGAUACUUAGCAUUCUUUUCGUACAUAGGAACCAGAUUUAGAUCUUCAGAAAAAUUAAGGGUUAAAGGCAAAAGUCAAUAUCCUGAUCCUGAUAGUGUGCAAGGAAUGAUAGAAAUGGGGCUAUAUAAACUGAAGUCUUUGAACUAUCCGCAAAUUACCCUGUCUAGCCGGUAAGCUUGUCCCCUCACAGAUGGUGGAGUGCAUGCGCUGUGUUCCAGUGCCCACUUUGAUUUGGACAGAUAUGGCGCCAAAAUUUAUGAUCCGCCCCACAUUUGCUAUGUCUUAAACAAGUACUUUUACAACACAAAUAGUAGCAUAUUUGUCAAGAAGUGCUUGAGGGUUCCUGAUGAUUUUAAUGCCAGAUUUAAAGCAUUAUCUAGAACAUAUUUGUAUAGACUUGCCGUACUGAAAAAAGAUAAAGUUCUACCAGAACACUCUUGCAUAGCAUCACACAUACCUAUUGAAGAAUGGAAGAGGUGCCAUUUCACAAGGCUAUCCAACUUUGACAUUGAGAAGCUGAAAGAAGGCGCGAAGUAUUUAGUGGGGUACCACGACUUCACCACCUUCAAGAAGUUCGACAAGCUGAAGCAGAACAAGUCGAACCGGCGCGAGUUGUAUUCCGUCGCGGUGCGGCCCGGCGCGCCGCUCGUGACGUCACACUCGCAAGCGGAGGAGUCCAUCUUUGAUCAUUGGGAGGUGGAGUUCAGGGGGCGCGCGUUUGUUCACAACCAGAUCCGACGGAUGAUGGGAACACUCAUCAGUUGUGCAAUCGGUAAAUUACCUCCUGAAGAGAUAAAGGUAAUGUUACAAGUGCCUUCCAAGCAUUCCUGGCACACAUUCAUUCCCAGCUGUCCCCCAGAUGGACUUUACUUGUGCAAAGUGGAGUACAAUCCUCAGGACCUUGUAUACCACGACGACGCGGCACUAACUGCAGAAAAACAAGAAGACACCGACUUAAGUGACAGUGAAUAAACAUGAGUUUCCUCAGUGAAUUGACGAAACAGAAAAAUAAACUAAAAGAAACAAAAACAGUGGUGACUAAAGUGGACGGACAGAGGUUUGUGGAGAGAGGUGGAAAUGUCGAAAAACUCGAAUCGACUUACGGUUUUGUCGUCGAUACAAAACCGGACAAUGUUCCGGUUAUGAUUGUUGAUCAUCUGUACAUAGGUUCACAAGAUUGUACAGCAAGCAAUGUGUUAGAAAAAUAUGAUAUUAAAUGUGUGCUAAGUCUAGGAAUAGAUGGGUAUGUUGAUGUAGAGCAUAAGUUUGUGGUUUGUUUAGAUUUGCCUGAAACAGAUAUAAAACCUGUACUCUGUGACAGUUUGCCAUUCAUCCACAAAGCUGUGGAGUCGGGCGUCAAUGUGUUGGUCCACUGCAACGCGGGAGUGUCUCGCACUUCUACGAUCGCUAUAGCAUAUUUAAUGCAUUACAAAGGUAUGCAAUAUGAAGAUGCUUACAAUUUAGUUAAAGGGAAAAGACCUGCCGUGCAACCCAAUGCAGGUUUCAAACGGCAGUUGAUGCUCAUGAGUCCAGGCUAUAUAAUAUGAGAAUAUGUAAAUAAAAAUAAAACCAUUGAAUACAAACAGAACUAGUUAUUUAUUGUAAUAAAUAAGUAAAUGUUUAAGUACAAGAGCCAAACAUUUUGUAUAGGUAAUAAAAGCAGGAUUGUGUCGCUUUACACCCAAUUACAAUGGAAGCACUAAUUCGUUAAUUAGGUACAAUAUGUAUUAUUAUGUAGCACCAAGUUCAUAAGUUUCAGAAGCUAAAGCUAUACUUAAACUUAAUUAACAUUGUAUAAAAUUUUAUAAAUAUCUACUACAUUAGAAAGUUCCAUAACCCUUGAUUCUGAACAGAUAUAGUAAAGUAAUUUAUGUAAAUGAAAAUAAUACAACUUAUUUUUACUUAAUAUUGAAUUCUCCUUUUCCAUUGCCAUAUUCAGUGCCAGUUUAAAAAAAAGUCAUUAUAGAUCUACAGUUUUAAAAUGGGAAAAACUUUUAUAAAAACUUUUUACAUUUAAUUCCCUUAAUUAGAUAUGAGUAGUAUAAUAUAACCAAAUAUACAAAUAGUAUUCAAUUGACAACAUUUUAAUUCAUAAAUACUGAUUGAAUAAUAUAGCAAAAAAAUAUUCGUAAGUAUCAAACAUACGCAAAAGAUCUUGAGACAACUUUACAAUAAUAAUGUCUUGGAUUUAAACUAAUAAUAAUGUAUUUAAUUCAAUAAGCAGUUUCGAUUGCUUAAGUUUGUGGUAUAUCUUAUUUAUUUUACAUAACUAACUAUUUAGCUUAGGGACUGAGCAAUAUUAAGCACCUUAUAGCAUAAGUGUUAUAAGUACGAGUCGCGCUACAAAUUCGCACCAUUGCAGAUAAUAUGUAGGUACAACCAGCUUAAAAAAGGGAUUGGAAAAUAAUGUUGAUCUCCAUCAUUUUAAUCAGCUUUGCUUAUACAUUUUGUCACAAUAGUGUGAUUUGCAGCGCACACAAUCUAAGAAUUACAAUGUAUUAAUAAUUCAAUGAACACUUUAUAUUUGGUGAUGAUGACAGUCAGGCUUGAACACUGGUAUGUAGGUAUGCAAAACAAAUCAGGCAGGUACACUGUUACUAUUAUCAGACUCAUCAAGAAAAUCAUCGAAUAUACAUAACCCAAUACACUAUGCAAUGAAAACCAUAACCGGCCGGUUUACGUCUACAAAAUUAAACCUUAUUGUGUUGGAAAUAGAGCCACUAAUUAAAUUAUUAUGUAUACACAUUUAUAAAUGGAUACCUAAAAUUCAUUGAAAAAAAAGCGUCUUCGUCUACGAAAAGCAUAUACUAAGCACACGAGUGUAUUACAAAAAUUGUGCUUAUUGCAUUAUGAAAAUGGCAAGUGUAUCUGAUUUACGGCAGCAUUCAUAGACAUCGCCUAAACAAAACUUAGCACUAAAAAUAAUCGAACAUAAUGCUCGGAAAGCUAACCCUAAUGUCAUUCUUGUUUGUUACAACCAUUAAAUGUAUUUUGAGACCAUAAUAAUUUCAUUAUUAUCGAGCCAACUGUCUCACAGGACGGGAAUGUCAAUUUUGAAUCACAAACGUGGUCUCACGUGCACACGCGUCACUAGUCUACGAGCUAUGACCAGCGAUCAGUCUUCGACAACAUCUCUUUUAAUCUCAAAUGGAUAAAAUACGAGUAUGUCAAUUGUAAACAUUGUAAUGAAAAAUAAGGAAUAAGUAGUUCAAUAAACAGACUAUGAAUAUCUGAUUUAAAUCGAACACACUAACUUUUCUCUUCGAAAUUCAGCAACAAAAACAUUCAAGUAUCAAGAAAUUGUCCUUAUUUCAAAAAUCAUUAACCAAGAUUACAAAACUUAACAAUAAAAAUCAUACAUUUUACUUCUUAAAACGAUAAAAUUGUAUUAACAUCAUUGUACUUUAAGUAACCCUCAUUAACAAACACUAAUUUAUAAGGCACAUUUAACUAAAUUACUGUUACAUCGGCUACAAAAAAGUACGUCGAAAAUGUUAAAAUAGAAUCGAUUUAUUGUUUCCACUAAACAUGGGGGCAUCAUAAUGGUUGGAUAAAAUCAAAAA
Molecule: RNA transcript, 3843 nt
Organism: Ostrinia furnacalis (Asian corn borer)
Lineage: Eukaryota; Metazoa; Arthropoda; Insecta; Lepidoptera; Crambidae
Gene name: tRNA pseudouridine synthase-like 1
Exons: 6
Source: RefSeq, a predicted model, not a curated record